This 492-nucleotide ribosomal RNA is filed under the name uncultured bacterium. Its description in RNAcentral is "partial 16S ribosomal RNA". It matches the Rfam family "Bacterial small subunit ribosomal RNA", at positions 29 to 507 of the family's 1533-position model. The record is from RNAcentral.
AGUGAACGCUGGCGGUAGGCCUAACACAUGCAAGUCGAACGGCAGCACAGUAAGAGCUUGCUCUUACGGGUGGCGAGUGGCGGACGGGUGAGGAAUACAUCGGAAUCUACUUUUUCGUGGGGGAUAACGUAGGUAAACUUACGCUAAUACCGCAUACGACCUACGGGUGAAAGCAGGGGAUCUUCGGACCUUGCGCGAUUGAAUGAGCCGAUGUCGGAUUAGCUAGUUGGCGGGGUAAAGGCCCACCAAGGCGACGAUCCGUAGCUGGUCUGAGAGGAUGAUAAGACAAACUGGAACUGAGACACGGUCAAGAGUACUACGGGAGGCAGCAGUGGGGAAUAGUGGACAAUGGGCGAAAGCAUGAUCCAGCCAUACCGCGUGGGUGAAGAAGGCCUUCGGGUUGUAAAGCCCUUUUGUUGGGAAAGAAAAGCAGCAGGUUAAUACCCCGCUGUUCUGACGGUAACCAAAGAAUAAGCACCGGCUAACUUCGUG